UGAGACUUAUUUACAAUGGCU
RNAcentral lists this non-coding RNA (21 nucleotides) under Arabidopsis thaliana (thale cress). Lineage: Eukaryota; Viridiplantae; Streptophyta; Magnoliopsida; Brassicales; Brassicaceae. The record is from RNAcentral.